This is a non-coding RNA of Vicia faba (fava bean), 324 nucleotides long. NCBI's taxonomy places the organism in Eukaryota, Viridiplantae, Streptophyta, Magnoliopsida, Fabales, Fabaceae. The record is from the annotation of a GenBank genome assembly.
AUGACGGGAUUCUUGUUGGCAGUUUCGUUUCGUUCCGGUAUUAUGCUCAGAAGAACCACUCAUCAAACCAGAUUAAUCAGCCACACAACAACACAUCACAACAAUAACACCCUUCGUUUCAACUUCUCAAACCAUAAUAAAGCCACUCACAGACCAGUUUUUGUAUCAAAGCAAGCAUCAGUUGAAUUUGAUGACAGGAAAAGCCCAAAUCAGGUAACAGUAACAAACUCAGCUUCAUAUUAUUUAUAUUCAGUAACCCAAAAACACAUUUAUACAAUGCUUCAUAUUGAUUACUCACAGACCAGUUUUUUUUAUAGGGCUUGA